AUUGACAAUGUAAAGUACUUUAUACCCAAUAAGACAAUCUGUCGUUAUUUUAAUUAGGUACUAGCUGACGUCACUGAAACGUUCGACCUUCGCUAAUAGAAGCGAUUAUAUUACUAGAGAUUGUGGGCGAAACUGUAUUACCUAAGCUAACUAGUCAUCCAUACUGCGCCUCACCGGUAGAUUUCCACGAUAAUGAGUCCGGCCCCUCGACUACUAAUUUUAGCGUUAAUAGAAACCUGUUUCUUUGAUACAUAACAUCUCUGUACUAAAUAUAUUAAAUGUAAAUAGCUUGAAUAAAUUAUUUAAAUUAA
This is a long non-coding RNA of Melitaea cinxia (Glanville fritillary), 311 nucleotides long. RefSeq lists it as uncharacterized. The record is from RefSeq and is a predicted model, not a curated record. The transcript has 2 exons. NCBI's taxonomy places the organism in Eukaryota, Metazoa, Arthropoda, Insecta, Lepidoptera, Nymphalidae.